UUGGAUAGAAAAUAUUAAUCAUUGAUUAUUUAUGCAAUUCUUGUUUAAUUUUUAGUAAGAUAUGGAGAGAUUUUAAAAGAAAGUCUCUAUUUUCAAUUGAAGAAAACAGUGGGGGUAAAGAAAAUAAGUGUUGAGGUAGAUGAUAAUCAUGAUAUUCAAGAGAAUGAUGAUACAUAUAAAGCAAGUAUUGAAGAAAAUUGUGAAACAAAGAAAACAAGUAUAGAGGAGGAAAUUUGUAUUGAAGAAAAUGAACAAGUUAACAAAUGAAGUAUUGAACAAAUUAAUAUUGCACAUCUUUCUACGAAUCAUGGGCUAAGAACUCAAAUAAUGGAUUACAAUGUUAAUCUUAAAAAUCAAAUUAGAAGAGUCUACUUGCAAAGAGAUUCGUGUCAGCCUCGAAAUCAUUCAUUUUCACAUAAAAAAUCAAAACGAUUCAUUACAGCUUGGUUCAAUAAAUUUGAUGAUUGGUUGGAAUAUAGUAUAAGAAAAGAAGUCUCAUUUUGCUUAUACUGUUAUCUUUUUAAAACAAAUAAUAGGGAACAAAGAGAUGAUGAUUCUUUUGUGAUAGAAGAGUUCAGUAAUUUUAAAAAAUAAAAUAAACUUCAAAUUCAUGUUAGAGAUGUCAAUAAUGCACACAAUCAAGCUUAAAACAACUGUGAAGUCUUAAUAAAUUAAGAGUAAAAUAUCGAGAUAAUUUUCUUUAUACAGUUAGAACAAACACAGUGUGAUUAUCGAAUUUAUUUGAAUGCAUCAAUUGAUGGUGUUCAACUUCUUUUACAGUAAAGACUAGCCUUUCGUGGUCAUGACGACUCUAAAUAUUCAAAUAAUUAAGAUAACUUUCUUGAACUAUUGCAAUUUCUAGCCAAUCAUAAUAAGGAGAUGUUACUUUGAAAAAUAUUCUAGAAAAUCUCAAGUUAACAUCACCUGAUGUUUAGAAGGAUAUUGUAAAAGUUGUUGCUAUCGAAACAAUUGAUCUUAUCAUAAAAGAUGUUGGUGAUGCAUUGUUUUCAAUUCUAAUUGAUGAAUCUUGAGAUAUCUCAAUAAAUGAACAGAUGUCUACUGUUUUGCAUUAUGUGAAUAAAACAGGAUAUGUAGUUGAACGAUUUAUUGGGAUUGAACAUGUUUGCAGUAUUACUGCCUCUAUCACUUAAAGCUGUUAUAGAUAAAUUAUUUUUUAGAUAUGGGUUGAGUAUAUCUAGAUUGUGGAGGCAAGAUCAGUUUAAUGGUCUCAAAUCACUUAUUUUGAAAGAGAACCCAUGUGCUUUCUAUGUUCAUUGGUUUGCUAAUCAACUUUAAUUGGCACUUGUAGUUAUAGCAAAGAAACAUGUGCAAGUUACUUCACUCUUUAAUUUGGUUUCUAGAGUGGUGAAUAUUGUUGGAGUGUCAUCAAAAUGUUGUGAUCUUUUGCGAGAGAAACAAGAAUCCAUAAUUUUUAAAGCAUUCCAUAAUGGUGAGAUUUCAAGUGGUCGGGGUCUUAAUUAACAAAGUACUAUUACACAUUUUGGUAAUACUCAUUGGGGAUCGCAUUAUGGUACUUUGAUUAGUUUGAUUUCCAUGUUCUCGCCUAUAGUUGAUGUUUUUGAAAUGAUUGUUGAUGAUGGAUCUACUGAACAAAAAUGUGAGAUAAAUGAUUUAUCGGAUUCAAUACAGUCAUUUGAAUUUGCAUUUAAUCUAUAUCUCAUGAGAACCAUCUUAGCAAUUUCAAAUAAAUUGUCCAAGACAUUACAAAGGAAGGAUCAAGAUAUUGUAAAUGCCAUUACUUUAGUAAAAAUAUGCAAACAAAGAUUCCAAGUGAUGAGGGACAAUGAGUGGCAUUUGUUUUUGAAAGUAGUUGUUUCUUUUUUGUGAAAAACAGAAUAUUGAUGAUCUUGACAUGGAUGGUGUUUUUAUAUGCCGAGGUCUCUCAUGGCGUAACACUGAAGAAAUGAUAAAUUUGUAUCACUUUCGUGUGGACUUGUUCUAUGCUAUCAUUGAUAUGCAACUUCAAGAAUUGAAUGAUUGUUUUUCUGAUGUUAGUACUGAGUUACUUCUUUGUAUAACAUGCUUAUGCCCAAAUAAUUCAUUUCCUACUUUGGACAAAGAAAAAUUAAUUCGUCCUGCUGAGUAUUAUCUUGAAGAUUUUUCAAGAGUAGAGUUCAUGGCACUUGAUAAUCAGGUUCAAACUUAUAUUUUUGAUAUGCGCUCUAACAAAAAGUUUGAAGAAUUGCAAGGACUCAGUGAACUUAGACAGAAGUUGGUUAUGAUGGAAAAAAAAUAUAGUGUACUCAUUAGUUUAUAAGCUUGUAAUUUUGGUAUUAACUCUUCCGGUUGCUACUACUACAGUUAAAAGAGAUUGCUACGACUACAGUUGAAAUAAUAUUUUCUACAAUAGACAUUGUGAAGAAUCGAUUGCGUAGUAAAAUUAGAGAUCAAUAGAUGAAUGAUAACUUAGUUGUGUACUUUAAAAAAUAUGUAUUUAAUAAAAUUAAUAAUGAGAUCAUUAUGUGGCGUUAUCAAAAUAUGAAAAGUAACAACAAUUAUAAAAAAAUAUAUAUAUUUUAAUAUUAUAAUUAUUAUCUUAUUUUAAAAAUUAUACUUUUUAUAUUUAAAUUCGCCUUCACUCAAUAAAAAUAAAAAUCCUGGGCCCGCCCUGAACCUAACGUCUCCGUUAGGCCCAUAAAUGAAUAUUGGUUUCCGAAAUUCUCCGAGCCGGAGGCCCCGAAGCUCUCUACUUUAAAAGGCUGUCAUUUCGUUUUUAAGCGACGCUUUGGCUCAAACGUCACCACGUACCUUCAGAGAGUUUGCGUGAAUCGUUCCUUGAGGCGGCGAUGGAGAACAUCAAACUUUUUCCGUUCACGAUCCGUCGCCGUCGGACUCCGACUAUGAAAAAUCUUCACCGCCGUUGUCCGUGAAAACCAAGUUCUAUCGUCUCUUCGGCAGAGAGAGGCCUCUGCACAGAGUCUUAGGCGGCGGAAAAGGUAUGCAAACUGAAUUCUCUCUCCCUCUCUCUCUACACACACACACACACGCACGCACGCAUGCAUGCAUAUAUGCAUGUGUGUGUGUCUAGUCGUGACAUUUGGAAACCGGCACUUAUCCUUUAAAGUCGAUGACGAUCACUGAUACAGGAGACGUUGCGUAUUUUAUAUUCACGAACGGCAUUAGUGUUUUGCUGAUUGGUGAUGAGCAUUCUUCGACCAAAUUGUCGCAUUUUUAUAUAUAGUCCCGGCAAUAACUUCUGGUCUGAGAACAGAUCUCAAUCGCACUCUUUCAGUUUCAGCCCUCCUGGGUAUUGGGUCUGGGAAGGGUAUGAAGAAAUUUCUUGCUGUAUGUUCUCAUCAUUCCUCCUCCUUUGUUUCUUCGAAGAGCUUGACUUGUUUGCAAGACAGCAUAAACGCAUGCCCAACCCCAAAAAGAAACCAGGAGAUGACCGACGUGAAUGGUUCACCAUUCACUUUGAACUUGGAAUGAUGGUGGAUUAAUUUUACCAUUGUUGCUUAAGGCUGGAAUUUUAGGGGUUCUACAUCUACAUGGCCUCGUGCUGUCAUGGAUCAUCUACUUCAGUAUUUACAAAUUUGUUUCAUUCCCAUCGUAAGAAGAAACCUUUUUUUCUCAGGUAAUUGCCGGAUUGUGGGUUAUUUCAGUUGUGGGCAGUUGCUUUGACUUCCUGACUCUGCUACGUACGCAAGGAAUCAAUUCAACUGCAAACAAUCCUCUUGCUGCAUACCGUGCCUGUCCAUUAUGAGAAAUACGAGGACACUGUAGACCCCUUUGCUGAGAAACCAUUGGUAGACUUCAAGAAGAAGUUUGCUGAAUUCGAUGCCAAGGUUCUGAGUCAGAUUCACAGAGGACCAUCUAAAGACAAGAAGCUCGUUCGGGCUUCUUUAUGGCGAGUGCCACUCCUGAUGGGAACAACUCCGUUUGUGGGGUGACAAAAAUGAUAGGGGUACUGCUUUUCGCUUGUUCUAAUACUGGGAACUGAUCAUGCUUUAGAGUUUGGAGAUGAGGAAACUAAUGGAUCCCUGGACAGUUUUUGGUUGAUCUUGCCUAAUAUGUAUGAUGAUCCUUUUGGUUUGCAUUAGAUUAGGUUGGAUUGGGAAUCCAGAGAUCAAUUAUCAGAAAUCAGUUGAAAGACUAAUUUAUGGCUUAAUUUAUUCUGGUAAUUCCCUGUUUUGGUUGGGCAAGAAUUUAUGGUCCAUCCAAUUUUGGAAUUAGUUUGUGUUGUAAUCACAGGGUGUAACAUGCAAAAUAAGAAACUUAAAGGCGAUUGGAU
Molecule: long non-coding RNA, 4252 nt
Organism: Diospyros lotus (date-plum)
Lineage: Eukaryota; Viridiplantae; Streptophyta; Magnoliopsida; Ericales; Ebenaceae
Exons: 3
Source: RefSeq, a predicted model, not a curated record